Molecule: ribosomal RNA, 587 nt
Filed under: uncultured bacterium
Lineage: Bacteria
Description: bacterial SSU rRNA
Rfam family: Bacterial small subunit ribosomal RNA
Source: RNAcentral
CCUACGGGAGGCAGCAGUGGGGAAUAUUGCACAAUGGGGGAAACCCUGAUGCAGCCAUGCCGCGUGUGUGAAGAAGGCCUUCGGGUUGUAAAGCACUUUCAGUCGUGAGGAAGGUAGUGUAGUUAAUAGCUGCAUUAUUUGACGUUAGCGACAGAAGAAGCACCGGCUAACUCCGUGCCAGCAGCCGCGGUAAUACGGAGGGUGCGAGCGUUAAUCGGAAUUACUGGGCGUAAAGCGCAUGCAGGUGGUUUGUUAAGUCAGAUGUGAAAGCCCGGGGCUCAACCUCGGAAUUGCAUUUGAAACUGGCAGACUAGAGUACUGUAGAGGGGGGUAGAAUUUCAGGUGUAGCGGUGAAAUGCGUAGAGAUCUGAAGGAAUACCGGUGGCGAAGGCGGCCCCCUGGACAGAUACUGACACUCAGAUGCGAAAGCGUGGGGAGCAAACAGGAUUAGAUACCCUGGUAGUCCACGCCGUAAACGAUGUCUACUUGGAGGUUGUGGCCUUGAGCCGUGGCUUUCGGAGCUAACGCGUUAAGUAGACCGCCUGGGGAGUACGGUCGCAAGAUUAAAACUCAAAUGAAUUGACGGA